CAAUGGGGGAAACCCUGACGAUGCGACGCCGCGUGGAGGAUGAAGGCCUUAGGGUUGUAAACUCCUGUCAAGAGGGAAUAAGCAAGUGAAGGUACCUCUAGAGGAAGGGGCGGCUAAUUCCGUGCCAGCAGCCGCGGUAACACGGAAGCCCCGAGCGUUGUUCGGAUUCAUUGGGCGUAAAGGGUGCGUAGGCGGCGCGGAAAGUCCGGCGUGAAAGGCAGAGGCUCAACCUCUGGACUGCGUUGGAUACUUCCGUGCUUGAGGACUGGAGGGGAGACUGGAAUUCACGGUGUAGCAGUGAAAUGCGUAGAUNUCGUGAGGAAGACCGGUGGCGAAGGCGAGUCUCUGGACAGAUCCUGACGCUGAGGCACGAAGGCUGGGGGAGCGAACAGGAUUAGAUACCCUGGUAGUCCCAGCAGUAAACGAUGUGAGCUUGAUGUGGGGGGAUUCGACCCCUUCCGUGUCGAAGCUAACGCGAUAAGCUCACCGCCUGAGGAGUACGGCCGCAAGGCUAAAACUCAAAGAAAUUGACGGGGACCCGCACAAGCGGUGGAGUAUGUGGCUUAAUUCGAUGCAACGCGAAGAACCUUACCUGGCCUUGACAUGCAUUGUGUCGUCGGUGAAAGCCGGCUAGUCCUGGAAACAGGACGCUUUGCACAGGUGCUACAUGGCUGUCGUCAGCUCGUGUCGUGAGAUGUUGGGUUAAGUCCCGCAACGAGCGCAACCCUUGUGGUCAGUUACUAACCGGCUUAGCCGGAGGACUCUGGCCAGACUGCCCUGUCAAACGGGGAGGAAGGUGGGGACGACGUCAAGUCAGUAUGGCCCUUAUGGCCAGGGCUGCACACGUACUACAAUGCCCGGUACAAUGUGAACCGAAACCGCGAGGUGGAGGAAAUCGCUCUUGAAAACCGGGCCCAGUUCGGAUUGGAGUCUGCAACUCGACUCCAUGAAGUCGGAAUCGC
This 962-nucleotide ribosomal RNA is filed under the name uncultured Verrucomicrobiota bacterium. RNAcentral's name for it is "bacterial SSU rRNA". It matches the Rfam family "Bacterial small subunit ribosomal RNA", at positions 369 to 1335 of the family's 1533-position model. The record is from RNAcentral. Lineage: Bacteria; Pseudomonadati; Verrucomicrobiota.